Molecule: long non-coding RNA, 1005 nt
Filed under: Homo sapiens (human)
Lineage: Eukaryota; Metazoa; Chordata; Mammalia; Primates; Hominidae
Description: novel transcript, antisense to CCNY
Source: RNAcentral
GUGCUGCCAGUCAAACAGUUAUAGCCAGACACAGUGGCUCACAACUGUAAUCCCAGAACUUUGGGAAGCCAAGAUGGGUGGAUCACUUGAGGUCAGGAGUUCAACACCAGCCAGACCAACAUGGUGAAACCCCUUAUCUACUCAAAAUACAAAAAUUAGCUGGGCGUGAUGGCGCACACCCAUAAUCCCAGCUACUUGGGAGGCUGAGGCAGGAGAAUAGCUUGAACCCGGGGGGCAGAGGUUGCAGUGAGCCAAGAUCACGCACUGCACUCCAGCCUGGAUGGCAGAGCAAGACUCCGUCUCCAAAAAAAAAAAAAAAAGCCAAAAAACAGUUAACUGUGAAACAGCCUCAGGCAGGGCCUGCAGGAGGUACCAGAAGAAGGCCUUGCUAUCAUGGGAGAUAACAGCUCCAUGAGUGCUGUCACCUCUAAAGCCCUUCAAGUGUGUUGGAAAUGGGUAUUCAAUGUCGCAGAAAUCAACCCUAAGACAAAGGAUCUCUCAGCAAGGCUAAUUUACUUUCUGCAGAAAGGGUGCUACUCGCUAGCAGUUUUGCCAGAGAGCACACACAAAAGAGACAGGGUCAUUUAUAGUCUGACACGUCCACCCUAUGGCUGUGUCCAGUUUCCAUUGGCUGGAAUGGGACCUCACAUUCUGUACUUGUCCUGAUUGGCUAGCAACUUAGAACAUCCCAAAAGAGACAUACAUAGAGGAGAACAAAGGAAAGGAGGAAGUAACUUGUGGAAUGCUGAGAAAGGCAAAAACACCUCCAAAUAAGGAAGAGGAACAGGCUAUGACCUAAUGCUUUCUUGGGCCUGUACAGACUGCGAGGAAAGUCCCUUUGAAGAGGAACCUCUACUUCAUUUUCUACAGAGUGGGACAGAGGUGCUGGUGGAAGACAGUGAUAUUGAUGAUCCUGACCCUGUGUAGGCCUGGCUAAUGUGUGUGUUUGUGUCUUGUUUUUAACAAAAAAGUUUAAAAAGACAAUAAAAAUUUUAAACCAGAAAA